UGUCUUAAAAGGACUAGUAUGAACGGCCCAACGAAGGCUGCACUGUCUCCUUUCCCCCAUCAAUGAACCUGAUUUCCCCGUGAAGAAGCGAGGAUAAACCUAUAAGACGAAAAGACCCUAUGGAGCUUCAGAUGAAAUAUUACAUGCCCCAAAAUUAACAUACCUACAUAUUCAUCUUCGGUUGGGGUGACCACGGAGAAAAACAAACCCUCCACGACAAACAAGCCUAAACACACAACUUAAAAGCACCAAUAAUUUAACACUUGACCCAAUUACAAUUGAUCAACGAACCAAGUUACCCUAGGGAUAACAGCGCAAUCCAUUUCAAGAGCCCAUAUCAACAAAUGGGUUUACGACCUCGAUGUUGGAUCAGGGUAUCCUAGUGGUGCAACCGCUACUAAAGGUUCGUUUGUU
This 414-nucleotide ribosomal RNA is filed under the name Sooglossus thomasseti (Thomasset's Seychelles frog). Its description in RNAcentral is "partial 16S ribosomal RNA". It matches the Rfam family "Bacterial large subunit ribosomal RNA", at positions 1970 to 2581 of the family's 2925-position model. Lineage: Eukaryota; Metazoa; Chordata; Amphibia; Anura; Sooglossidae. The record is from RNAcentral.